Molecule: ribosomal RNA, 2380 nt
Filed under: Shigella boydii
Lineage: Bacteria; Pseudomonadati; Pseudomonadota; Gammaproteobacteria; Enterobacterales; Enterobacteriaceae
Description: partial 23S ribosomal RNA
Rfam family: Bacterial large subunit ribosomal RNA
Source: RNAcentral
GCGUGCGAUACAGGGUGACAGCCCCGUACACAAAAAUGCACAUAUUGUGAGCUCGAUGAGUAGGGCGGGACACGUGGUAUCCUGUCUGAAUAUGGGGGGACCAUCCUCCAAGGCUAAAUACUCCUGACUGACCGAUAGUGAACCAGUACCGUGAGGGAAAGGCGAAAAGAACCCCGGCGAGGGGAGUGAAAAAGAACCUGAAACCGUGUACGUACAAGCAGUGGGAGCACGCUUAGGCGUGUGACUGCGUACCUUUUGUAUAAUGGGUCAGCGACUUAUAUUCUGUAGCAAGGUUAACCGAAUAGGGGAGCCGAAGGGAAACCGAGUCUUAACUGGGCGUUAAGUUGCAGGGUAUAGACCCGAAACCCGGUGAUCUAGCCAUGGGCAGGUUGAAGGUUGGGUAACACUAACUGGAGGACCGAACCGACUAAUGUUGAAAAAUUAGCGGAUGACUUGUGGCUGGGGGUGAAAGGCCAAUCAAACCGGGAGAUAGCUGGUUCUCCCCGAAAGCUAUUUAGGUAGCGCCUCGUGAAUUCAUCUCCGGGGGUAGAGCACUGUUUCGGCAAGGGGGUCAUCCCGACUUACCAACCCGAUGCAAACUGCGAAUACCGGAGAAUGUUAUCACGGGAGACACACGGCGGGUGCUAACGUCCGUCGUGAAGAGGGAAACAACCCAGACCGCCAGCUAAGGUCCCAAAGUCAUGGUUAAGUGGGAAACGAUGUGGGAAGGCCCAGACAGCCAGGAUGUUGGCUUAGAAGCAGCCAUCAUUUAAAGAAAGCGUAAUAGCUCACUGGUCGAGUCGGCCUGCGCGGAAGAUGUAACGGGGCUAAACCAUGCACCGAAGCUGCGGCAGCGACACUAUGUGUUGUUGGGUAGGGGAGCGUUCUGUAAGCCUGUGAAGGUGUACUGUGAGGUAUGCUGGAGGUAUCAGAAGUGCGAAUGCUGACAUAAGUAACGAUAAAGCGGGUGAAAAGCCCGCUCGCCGGAAGACCAAGGGUUCCUGUCCAACGUUAAUCGGGGCAGGGUGAGUCGACCCCUAAGGCGAGGCCGAAAGGCGUAGUCGAUGGGAAACAGGUUAAUAUUCCUGUACUUGGUGUUACUGCGAAGGGGGGACGGAGAAGGCUAUGUUGGCCGGGCGACGGUUGUCCCGGUUUAAGCGUGUAGGCUGGUUUUCCAGGCAAAUCCGGAAAACUAAGGCUGAGGCGUGAUGACGAGGCACUACGGUGCUGAAGCAACAAAUGCCCUGCUUCCAGGAAAAGCCUCUAAGCAUCAGGUAACAUCAAAUCGUACCCCAAACCGACACAGGUGGUCAGGUAGAGAAUACCAAGGCGCUUGAGAGAACUCGGGUGAAGGAACUAGGCAAAAUGGUGCCGUAACUUCGGGAGAAGGCACGCUGAUAUGUAGGUGAAGUCCCUCGCGGAUGGAGCUGAAAUCAGUCGAAGAUACCAGCUGGCUGCAACUGUUUAUUAAAAACACAGCACUGUGCAAACACGAAAGUGGACGUAUACGGUGUGACGCCUGCCCGGUGCCGGAAGGUUAAUUGAUGGGGUCAGCGCAAGCGAAGCUCUUGAUCGAAGCCCCGGUAAACGGCGGCCGUAACUAUAACGGUCCUAAGGUAGCGAAAUUCCUUGUCGGGUAAGUUCCGACCUGCACGAAUGGCGUAAUGAUGGCCAGGCUGUCUCCACCCGAGACUCAGUGAAAUUGAACUCGCUGUGAAGAUGCAGUGUACCCGCGGCAAGACGGAAAGACCCCGUGAACCUUUACUAUAGCUUGACACUGAACAUUGAGCCUUGAUGUGUAGGAUAGGUGGGAGGCUUUGAAGUGUGGACGCCAGUCUGCAUGGAGCCGACCUUGAAAUACCACCCUUUAAUGUUUGAUGUUCUAACGUUGACCCGUAAUCCGGGUUGCGGACAGUGUCUGGUGGGUAGUUUGACUGGGGCGGUCUCCUCCUAAAGAGUAACGGAGGAGCACGAAGGUUGGCUAAUCCUGGUCGGACAUCAGGAGGUUAGUGCAAUGGCAUAAGCCAGCUUGACUGCGAGCGUGACGGCGCGAGCAGGUGCGAAAGCAGGUCAUAGUGAUCCGGUGGUUCUGAAUGGAAGGGCCAUCGCUCAACGGAUAAAAGGUACUCCGGGGAUAACAGGCUGAUACCGCCCAAGAGUUCAUAUCGACGGCGGUGUUUGGCACCUCGAUGUCGGCUCAUCACAUCCUGGGGCUGAAGUAGGUCCCAAGGGUAUGGCUGUUCGCCAUUUAAAGUGGUACGCGAGCUGGGUUUAGAACGUCGUGAGACAGUUCGGUCCCUAUCUGCCGUGGGCGCUGGAGAACUGAGGGGGGCUGCUCCUAGUACGAGAGGACCGGAGUGGACGCAUCACUGGUGUUCGG